RNAcentral lists this ribosomal RNA (259 nucleotides) under uncultured bacterium. RNAcentral's name for it is "partial 16S ribosomal RNA". It matches the Rfam family "Bacterial small subunit ribosomal RNA", at positions 524 to 776 of the family's 1533-position model. The record is from RNAcentral.
UACGUAGGUGGCAAGCGUUGUCCGGAUUGACUGGGCGUAAAGCGUCCGCAGGUGGCAUGCCAAGUGGGGUGUGAAAGCCGGUGGCUUAACCGCCGGAGGCCAUCCCAAACUGGCGCGCUGGAGCCGGGGCAGAGGGUGACGGAAUUGCCGGUGUAGUGGUGAAAUGCGUAGAUAUCGGGAGGAACACCCCAGGGGGGAAAACCAGCCGACUGGGCAUUUUGCUGACGCUGAGGUGCGAGAGCGUGGGGGAGCGAACCGG